GGCAGUUAACUUUCGGGAGCCGGGCAUUAAAUUGCCGAGAAAUAAAAUUAUGAUUUCUGGUUUCUGAGGAAGGUCCGCCCACCCGCAGACAAGUUUUUUGUUUGUGACAAAGUCAUCUGCGAAAGCAGACUGCUGUGAAGCAAAGCACUGUUACAGAAACGACACAGCUUAUCUUAAGUUAUGAAGCAUGCGCUGAACUUUGAGAGAUGAGAUUUGAUGAAACGAGCAUCUUGACUGGUGCAAGUAGAAUUAUCUACGCAUAGUGGAAUGUUAACAAGUUCUGUCUGAUUACAGGGAACUACAGAAAGUGGCCUAUCC
RNAcentral lists this RNase P RNA (318 nucleotides) under Candidatus Pacearchaeota archaeon RBG_13_33_26. RNAcentral describes it as "RNase P RNA component". It matches the Rfam family "Archaeal RNase P". From Rfam's summary of the family: Ribonuclease P (RNase P) is a ubiquitous endoribonuclease, found in archaea, bacteria and eukarya as well as chloroplasts and mitochondria. Its best characterised activity is the generation of mature 5'-ends of tRNAs by cleaving the 5'-leader elements of precursor-tRNAs. RNAcentral also lists the same sequence under 1 other name. Lineage: Archaea; Nanobdellati. The record is from RNAcentral.